Molecule: ribosomal RNA, 408 nt
Filed under: uncultured bacterium
Lineage: Bacteria
Description: partial 16S ribosomal RNA
Rfam family: Bacterial small subunit ribosomal RNA
Source: RNAcentral
GACGAACGCUGGCGGCGUGCUUAACACAUGCAAGUCGAACGAAGUGGCGAACGGGUGAGUAACGCGUAAUCAACCUGCCCUUCAGAGGGGGAUAACAGUUGGAAACGACUGCUAAUACCGCAUACUGAAGAACGGGUUUGCGUGUGAUUAGCUAGUUGGCGGGGUAACGGCCCACCAAGGCGAUGAUCAGUAGCCGGUCUGAGAGGAAGAACGGCCAAAUUUGGACUGAGAAACGGGCCAGACUCCUACGGGAGGCAGCAGUGGGGAAUCUUCCGCAAUGGAGGAAAGUCUGACGGAGCAACGCCGCGGGAGUGAUGAAGGCCUUCGGGUUGGAAAGCUCUGUUAAUCGGGACGCGGUACCGGAAUAGAAAGCAACGGCUAACUACGUGCCAGCAGCCGCGGUAAUUC